Centruroides sculpturatus (bark scorpion) is the source of this 274-nucleotide long non-coding RNA. RefSeq lists it as uncharacterized. NCBI's taxonomy places the organism in Eukaryota, Metazoa, Arthropoda, Arachnida, Scorpiones, Buthidae. The transcript has 3 exons. The record is from RefSeq and is a predicted model, not a curated record.
CACAACAAUAAAAUUUUCUUGUUGAAAGAGAUCUAUUGUUAACUCGUGCGAUUAUUUAUUGCGAGUGGUUUUUCGUGUUUUGCUUCAUUUGCAGCGAUUAUUUAAUAUUUUAUUUACGAACAUGAAGAUGAAGAUUUUAGUCGCAGUGUUAUGUUGGUUUUCCUUUUUAAAUUUCAUCGUAAUUUGCUUUCUUUCUUCUCGGCUGAUAGCCAAGCUUUAUGGAAAUUUUAUAGAAGUAAACAUGGCCUCUUCUGCAUACAGAACUUUACCAGAU